AGAGAGAGACAUGCGCGCAUAUCAAUAAGCGGAGGAAAAGAAACUAACAAGGAUUCCCCUAGUAACGGCGAGUGAAGCGGGAAGAGCUCAAAUUUGAAAUCUUAAAGGGUUUCCCUUUACGAAUUGUAGUUUAAAGAAGUGUUUUCUGUUGAGGUUUUGGUAAAAGUUCUUUGGAAUAGGACAUCAUAGAGGGUGAGAAUCCCGUAUUUGACCUUUACUUUCAACUUUGUGAUACACUUUCAAAGAGUCGGAUUGUUUGGGAAUGCAGUCCAAAAUGGGUGGUAAAUUUCAUCUAAAGCUAAAUAUUGGCGAGAGACCGAUAGCGAACAAGUACCGUGAGGGAAAGAUGAAAAGAACUUUGAAAAGAGAGUUAAACAGUACGUGAAAUUGUCAAAAGGGAAGCGUUUGACACCAGUGUUGUUUUUCUGAAAAUCAAUUAAAGAACUGUUUAUGCUAAGUUGUUUAGACUUUAUCAGCUAACUGUUUAGUUUUGAGCUUUUCUUUAAUGCACUUUUCAGUUAACAAGUCAACAUCAAUUUCUUUUGCUGUAAAAAAGCUUGAGGAAGGUGGCUUGAGAUUCGUCUUAAGUGUUUAUAGCCUCUUGCCUAUGCAGUCGGAGAGAUUGAGGUCUGCAGCGUAGAUCCUUCGGGGCUAAAUGCAUUUGCUGCUAAGUUAUAGCAUUUUAUAGACAACUUGUUGACUAUGAUUUGUCUUGUAGCUUACUCGCUUAUGUUAUUUUACCUACGCUUAGGAUGUUGACGCAUGAGAUAUACGC
This 775-nucleotide ribosomal RNA is filed under the name uncultured Neocallimastigales. RNAcentral describes it as "partial large subunit ribosomal RNA". It matches the Rfam family "Eukaryotic large subunit ribosomal RNA", at positions 23 to 646 of the family's 3401-position model. Lineage: Eukaryota; Fungi; Neocallimastigomycota; Neocallimastigomycetes; Neocallimastigales. The record is from RNAcentral.